Molecule: ribosomal RNA, 131 nt
Organism: Fukomys damarensis (Damara mole-rat)
Lineage: Eukaryota; Metazoa; Chordata; Mammalia; Rodentia; Bathyergidae
Source: Ensembl
GUUGAUGACCAUGUCUCCCUGAAUGCUCCCCAUCUCAUCUUAUCUUGGAAGCUAAGCAGGGUCAGGCCUGGUUAGUACUUGAAUGGGAGUAAUGAGUUCUUCCAGUUGCUACAAAACAAGAAUUAGCAUUA